Molecule: long non-coding RNA, 419 nt
Filed under: Salvia miltiorrhiza (redroot sage)
Lineage: Eukaryota; Viridiplantae; Streptophyta; Magnoliopsida; Lamiales; Lamiaceae
Description: long non-coding RNA (SMIL_LNC009837)
Source: RNAcentral
AGGAAUUCCGAUGACUUCACAAUCAACCAGAGUAUCACCAAUCAGGAAUCCGGUGGGCAGGAAUCCGGUGAUAACUCUCACAGCAACAAGGAAGGCCUAGUUCACACACAGGAGAGAAAUCUUAGAAGGAGUAGCAGAGCCUUCUCAAGAAAAAUGCCUGAAGACCUUCUAGUUGCUGUGAAGAAUUAGGGCCAGAUUUAAAAGGAUGGGAGGCAUCGGGAAGGGGGUGGAGAAUUGAAGACGGAAGGAGAACCGAGGAGUCGGGAGGUGGAGGGAACUGGAAGGGCGCAGAUGGGAGAGAGAGAUUGCAGCGGCGCACGGGAGUGAUGAAAUGGGGGGGGGGCUGAUUUGGAUUUAGGGUAUAAAGGGGAUGGGCUUGGGCUUGGGCUUGGGGGGCGAUUAAUGAUAUUGGGCCAACA